UACAGACCAAGUUAAUAAGAGCUAUUGGUGGAUGCCUUGGCAUUGACAGGCGAAGAAGGAUGUGAUUACCUGCAGAAAGCUUCGGUGAGCUGGUAAUAAGCAGAGACCCGGAGAUAUCCGAAUGGGGAAACCCAGUAGAUUAAAGAUCUACUAUCAUACACUGAAUCCAUAGGUGUAUGAGGCGACACCCGCCGAACUGAAACAUCUUAGUAAGCGGAGGAAAAGAAAUCAACGAGAUUCCCUAUGUAGCGGCGAGCGAAAGGGGAAGAGCCCAAAUCAUAUUGAUAGUAAUAUGAGGUUGUAGGGCCAGAUCAUAAGAGAAUGGAAGUUUUAGCUGAACACUGUUGGAAAACAGGACGAUACAGGGUGAUAGUCCCGUAAGCGAAAAGACGGAAGACUCGAUUUGGUACCUGAGUAGGACUAGACACGGGAAACCUAGUCUGAAUCUAGGGAGACCACUCUCUAAAGCUAAAUACUAGUCAAUGACCUAUAGCGAACCAGUACUGCGAAGGAAAGGUGAAAAGAACCCUUGUUAAGGGAGUGAAAUAGAACCUGAAACCAAUAGCUUAUAAGCGGUCGGAGGCCUAUUUAUGUCUC
RNAcentral lists this ribosomal RNA (597 nucleotides) under Chlamydia sp. 12-3998_AO002. Its description in RNAcentral is "bacterial LSU rRNA". It matches the Rfam family "Bacterial large subunit ribosomal RNA", at positions 1 to 596 of the family's 2925-position model. The record is from RNAcentral. Lineage: Bacteria; Pseudomonadati; Chlamydiota; Chlamydiia; Chlamydiales; Chlamydiaceae.